This 396-nucleotide ribosomal RNA is filed under the name uncultured bacterium. Its description in RNAcentral is "partial 16S ribosomal RNA". It matches the Rfam family "Bacterial small subunit ribosomal RNA", at positions 523 to 918 of the family's 1533-position model. The record is from RNAcentral.
AUACGUAGGGAGCGAGCGUUGUCCGGAAUUACUGGGUGUAAAGGGAGCGUAGGCGGGGGUGCAAGUCAGAUGUGAAAUACAUGGGCUCAACCCAUGGGCUGCAUUUGAAACUGCAUUUCUUGAGUGAAGUAGAGGUAAGCGGAAUUCCUGGUGUAGCGGUGAAAUGCGUAGAUAUCAGGAGGAACACCGGUGGCGAAGGCGGCUUACUGGGCUUUUACUGACGCUGAGGCUCGAAAGCGUGGGGAGCAAACAGGAUUAGAUACCCUGGUAGUCCACGCUGUAAACGAUGAUUACUAGGUGUGGGGGGACUGACCCCUUCCGUGCCGCAGUUAACACAAUAAGUAAUCCACCUGGGGAGUACGGCCGCAAGGUUGAAACUUAAAGGAAUUGACGGGG